CAGUCGCCACGGUAAUACGUAGGGUGCGAGCGUUAAUCGGAAUUACUGGGCGUAAAGCGUGCGCAGGCGGUUCGUUAAGACAGAUGUGAAAUCCCCGGGCUUAACCUGGGAACUGCAUUUGUGACUGGCGAGCUAGAGUAUGGCAGAGGGGGGUAGAAUUCCACGUGUAGCAGUGAGAUGCGUAGAGAUGUGGAGGAAUACCGAUGGCGAAGGCAGCCCCCUGGGCCAAUACUGACGCUCAUGCACGAAAGCGUGGGGAGCAAACAGGAUUAGAUACCCCCGUAGUCCCUGUCUCUUAUAC
This 301-nucleotide ribosomal RNA is filed under the name uncultured bacterium. RNAcentral's name for it is "partial 16S ribosomal RNA". It matches the Rfam family "Bacterial small subunit ribosomal RNA", at positions 509 to 807 of the family's 1533-position model. The record is from RNAcentral.